UCAAAUCACAAACUCAAGAUUUCUUGCAAAUAUGGAAGUUUAUGGAUGAAACAAGAUACUAGGGAGUUAGUAAAGCUAUUUGGAGCAUUUUUGGUGGAACUAGAAGCCCUAGAUCAUCAAGAUUUUUCUUAUCUUCAUCCCUAUUUUCUAGCAAAAAUUGUCGAGAAACGAACCGCGAACAAGGAAUCGAAUAGAGAUUUGCACGGAACGCAAAUCUGAGAUUAGUGGACGAC
This is a long non-coding RNA of Helianthus annuus (common sunflower), 233 nucleotides long. RefSeq lists it as uncharacterized. Lineage: Eukaryota; Viridiplantae; Streptophyta; Magnoliopsida; Asterales; Asteraceae. The transcript is spliced from 3 exons. The record is from RefSeq and is a predicted model, not a curated record.